This 305-nucleotide ribosomal RNA is filed under the name uncultured bacterium. Its description in RNAcentral is "bacterial SSU rRNA". It matches the Rfam family "Bacterial small subunit ribosomal RNA", at positions 334 to 655 of the family's 1533-position model. The record is from RNAcentral.
UUGUCCUACGGGACGCAGCAGUGGGGAAUAUUGGGCAAUGGAGGAAACUCUGACCCAGCAACGCCGCGUGAAGGAUGAAGGUUUUCGGAUUGUAAACUUCUGUCGCGAGGGAUGAAGAAUGACGGUACCUCGUAAGAAAGCCCCGGCAAACUACGUGCCAGCAGCCGCGGUAAUACGUAGGGGGCAAGCGUUAUCCGGAUUUACUGGGUGUAAAGGGAGCGUAGACGGUGAGACAAGUCUGAAGUGAAAGCCCGGGGCUCAACCCCGGGACUGCUUUGGAAACUGCCUGACUGGAGGGCGGGAGG